RNAcentral lists this ribosomal RNA (254 nucleotides) under uncultured microorganism. RNAcentral's name for it is "partial 16S ribosomal RNA". It matches the Rfam family "Archaeal small subunit ribosomal RNA", at positions 474 to 727 of the family's 1478-position model. The record is from RNAcentral.
CACCGGCGGCUCGAGUGGUGGCCCCUUUCAUUGGGUCUAAAGCGUCCGUAGCCGGCUUGGCAAGUCCCCUGGGAAAUCUGGCGGCUUAACCGUCAGGCGUCCAGAGGAUACUGCCAGGCUUGGGACCGGGAGAGGUGAGAGGUACCUCAGGGGUAGGGGUGAAAUCUUGUGAUCCCUGAGGGACCACCAGUGGCGAAGGCGUCUCACUAGAACGGGUCCGACGGUCAGGGACGAAAGCUGGGGGCACGAACCGG